UGCAAGUCGAGCGAGACCUUCGGGUCUAGCGGCGGACGGGUUAGUAACGCGUGGGAACGUACCCUUCUCUAUGGAAUAGCCAUUGGAAACGAUGAGUAAUACCAUAUACGCCCUUCGGGGGAAAGAUUUAUCGGAGAAGGAUCGGCCCGCGUUAGAUUAGAUAGUUGGUGGGGUAAUGGCCUACCAAGUCUACGAUCUAUAGCUGGUUUUAGAGGAUGAUCAGCAACACUGGGACUGAGACACGGCCCAGACUCCUACGGGAGGCAGCAGUGGGGAAUCUUAGACAAUGGGCGCAAGCCUGAUCUAGCCAUGCCGCGUGUGUGAUGAAGGCCUUAGGGUCGUAAAGCACUUUCGCCAGGGAUGAUAAUGACAGUACCUGGUAAAGAAACCCCGGCUAACUCCGUGCCAGCAGCCGCGGUAAUACGGAGGGGGUUAGCGUUGUUCGGAAUUACUGGGCGUAAAGCGCGCGUAGGCGGAUCAGAAAGUAGGGGGUGAAAUCCCGAGGCUCAACCUCGGAACUGCCUCCUAAACUCCUGGUCUUGAGUUCGAGAGAGGUGAGUGGAAUUCCAAGUGUAGAGGUGAAAUUCGUAGAUAUUUGGAGGAACACCAGUGGCGAAGGCGGCUCACUGGCUCGAUACUGACGCUGAGGUGCGAAAGUGUGGGGAGCAAACAGGAUUAGAUACCCUGGUAGUCCACACCGUAAACGAUGAAUGCCAGUCGUCGGGCAGUAUACUGUUCGGUGACACACCUAACGGAUUAAGCAUUCCGCCUGGGGAGUACGGUCGCAAGAUUAAAACUCAAAGGAAUUGACGGGG
This 815-nucleotide ribosomal RNA is filed under the name Sulfitobacter sp. CPA-36. RNAcentral's name for it is "bacterial SSU rRNA". It matches the Rfam family "Bacterial small subunit ribosomal RNA", at positions 56 to 918 of the family's 1533-position model. Lineage: Bacteria; Pseudomonadati; Pseudomonadota; Alphaproteobacteria; Rhodobacterales; Roseobacteraceae. The record is from RNAcentral.